This 942-nucleotide ribosomal RNA is filed under the name Triticum aestivum (bread wheat). Its description in RNAcentral is "partial small subunit ribosomal RNA". The record is from RNAcentral. Lineage: Eukaryota; Viridiplantae; Streptophyta; Magnoliopsida; Poales; Poaceae.
AUGCUCCGGCCGGCGACCCCUCUCUCUGUGGCUGCGCCCACGCUCCCUACCAUCUCCCGCCUCGGCCGUGGCGCGGCUCCGCCUCUCAGGGGCAGAAGGUCGGGCACCACCGUGCGCGCGCGCAUGCCGCUGGAGCAGCAGCAGGUAACGCUGCCGUCGCUGGCGCACCGGGAGGUAGCGCGAGCGCUGGCAGCCGAGGCGGCAGCAGCCGUGCCGCUGCUGCCGUCGGCUGUGCCCGUCGACGUAGCCGACUUCCGGAACAGCGCUGGGACCGCCGUCGGCACGCUGGACGUGCGCCGAGGCGAGCCUGCCUCGUCGAUUGAUUUCAUGCUGCACUCGUCACUUCACUGCAAAGUCCCAAAUGGCGCAAUCGACAUUACGUCGGUCCUUAUUUUCCUAAAUGCCUUGACGGAUGCACCACAUUUCCUCAUGGAGUUCAUACAAGGCAGCCCAACUUCAAUGGUUGUGAUUCUUGAUCUGCUCCCACGGAAAGACCUCGCGCUCCACCCGGAGUACCUCCAAAAGUACUAUGAACAUACUCACUUGGACAAGCAACGUGAGAAGAUCGAAGAAUUGCCACAAACCCGUCCAUACCGGUCGCCAUCGCUCUUUGUGUGCAGUGCAUGUUCUCCAACAGCGGUGUCGGUCACCAUCGAUUGCGGGCAAGGAGGGGAGGGUACCUUGGAAGAGAUAGUGUGUGGUCAUCUGGCAUCAGCUGUGAAGGAGGUUCUUCAAAUCUGGCUUCAUAGUUGUGCUCGUGACACCUCCGAAAUGGAAGAGGCCGAGAGGGAGAUCAUGAUCAAAAGGGACCAAGCUGUAAGAUCGAAAUCAAUCGAGGUCGACCUAACUGCAAAUUUGCCUAGGAUGUUUGGUCCCGAUGUGUCUGGCCACAUCAUUGCUGAAAUCCGUAAGGCCUUUGGGGUACAACUACAAGAGGCCUAG